Molecule: ribosomal RNA, 429 nt
Filed under: uncultured Herbaspirillum sp.
Lineage: Bacteria; Pseudomonadati; Pseudomonadota; Betaproteobacteria; Burkholderiales; Oxalobacteraceae
Description: bacterial SSU rRNA
Rfam family: Bacterial small subunit ribosomal RNA
Source: RNAcentral
UGGGGAAUUUUGGACAAUGGGGGCAACCCUGAUCCAGCAAUGCCGCGUGAGUGAAGAAGGCCUUCGGGUUGUAAAGCUCUUUUGUCAGGGAAGAAACGGUAGUGGCGAAUAACUAUUACUAAUGACGGUACCUGAAGAAUAAGCACCGGCUAACUACGUGCCAGCAGCCGCGGUAAUACGUAGGGUGCAAGCGUUAAUCGGAAUUACUGGGCGUAAAGCGUGCGCAGGCGGUUGUGUAAGUCAGAUGUGAAAUCCCCGGGCUCAACCUGGGAAUUGCAUUUGAGACUGCACGGCUAGAGUGUGUCAGAGGGGGGUAGAAUUCCACGUGUAGCAGUGAAAUGCGUAGAUAUGUGGAGGAAUACCGAUGGCGAAGGCAGCCCCCUGGGAUAACACUGACGCUCAUGCACGAAAGCGUGGGGAGCAAACAGG